AAUUAAUCUGAUCAGUGUGUUUUCAUGUUAUAAUAUUGUUGUACACAAUUAAUCAAGAAGAAACGAAGUCCGUGUCAGGAAGAAUGGGCCAAAACUUAAUUACAGAUUACACUUGAUAACAAUCCAGACUUAUGUAAAUAAUGGGCUGUUUCAGAUAUGAAUGGAUCAUAUAACAGAAAUACCCACAAAAUCGUAAUAUACAUCCAUCAACACACUUGAUUGUGCUAUUAUCAAUAGAGGAACAACUUAAUUUAUAAAAAAUAAGUAAAAAUAAAAAAAUCCAAACACUGAAAUAUCAUCAUCUUGAUCUGUAAAGAGCUUGCCGAUAAAGAUAUGUUUAUGAUUUAUAUCCAAGAUGUGAGGAAAAUAAGCAAUCUCCUUGGAUAGAGAGAUUUCUUUGGAGGAAUGGUUCAUACUGAGGUGGUGCUGCAGAGGCCUGAGAGGGACAGUUGCAUGAAAAUGAGAACCAGGGAAGAACAUCAAUGCCUCAAACCCAAACUAGCUGGAGAACGAUAAAUUUUGGAAAAAUAAAAUUGAACAUAAAAAAGAAUUCUAGCGA
This is a long non-coding RNA of Populus euphratica (Euphrates poplar), 559 nucleotides long. RefSeq lists it as uncharacterized. The record is from RefSeq and is a predicted model, not a curated record. The transcript is spliced from 2 exons. Lineage: Eukaryota; Viridiplantae; Streptophyta; Magnoliopsida; Malpighiales; Salicaceae.